Molecule: ribosomal RNA, 338 nt
Filed under: uncultured bacterium
Lineage: Bacteria
Description: bacterial SSU rRNA
Rfam family: Bacterial small subunit ribosomal RNA
Source: RNAcentral
GCUCAGAUUGAACGCUGGCGGCAGGCCUAACACAUGCAAGUCGAACGGUAACAGGGAUCAGCUUGCUGAUUCGCUGACGAGUGGCGGACGGGUGAGUAAUGUCUGGGAAACUGCCUGAUGGAGGGGGAUAACUACUGGAAACGGUAGCUAAUACCGCAUAACGUCGCAAGACCAAAGAGGGGGACCUUCGGGCCUCUUGCCAUCGGAUGUGCCCAGAUGGGAUUAGCUAGUAGGUGGGGUAACGGCUCACCUAGGCGACGAUCCCUAGCCGGUCUGAGAGGAUGACCAGCCACACUGGAACUGAGACACGGUCCAGACUCCUACGGGAGGCAGCAGUA